RNAcentral lists this ribosomal RNA (369 nucleotides) under Triticum aestivum (bread wheat). RNAcentral describes it as "partial small subunit ribosomal RNA". Lineage: Eukaryota; Viridiplantae; Streptophyta; Magnoliopsida; Poales; Poaceae. The record is from RNAcentral.
AUGACCACGCCUGCUACUACAGUAGGGCACACAGAUGGGGCAUGCCUUGCAUUUGUGUUGUUUCGUGCCACGCCAAAUUCACUAUUUGUUUUGCUGAAGUUCACUUUUCAUGUAAAGGGAAGGAGACGCCGAGAUGCCUGUGAAGAUCAGCGUGUCGACAGGUCAAUUGUGUCGCAUCUCGAAGUUCAGCGGCCAACUGCUCUGGCCGGAUCCAUCGCUAGUGCGUCGCUCAUGUUGGUGAACGUGGUUGUGGAGGAGGCCCUCCGCACCGAGCCCGUCGGCGUUGACACCAACUCGUGUGCAUCUCCCCUACUAACAUCUAUCCACAAAAAUUUAGAGAUGUUCCGUCAAGUUCUAGCGCAACCAUAG